Molecule: unclassified non-coding RNA, 379 nt
Filed under: uncultured bacterium
Lineage: Bacteria
Description: contains 16S-23S intergenic spacer region
Source: RNAcentral
UCCUGGUUCCCCAGGCAGUCCCAUCAGAGUGCCUCCGAAGAGUAGCAACUGAUGGCAAAGGUUGCGCUCGUUAAAGGACUUAACCCAACAUCUCACGACACGAGCUGACGACAGCCAUGCAGCACCUGUGUAACCGUCCGUAUUACUACGGAACCCAAUGUUUCCACUGGUAGCAAUUACAUGUCAAGCCUAGGUAAGGUUCCUCGCGUAGUGUCGAAUUAAACCACAUGUUCCACCGCUUGUGCGGACCCCCGUCAAUUUCUUUGAGUUUUAAUCUUGCGACCGUACUCCCCAGGCGGAUCACUUAACGCGUUAGCUUCGACACUGACCAGGCGAACCCAGCCAACAUCUAGUGAUCAUCGUUUACGGCGUGGACUAC